Long non-coding RNA from Manihot esculenta (cassava), 1446 nucleotides. RefSeq lists it as uncharacterized. NCBI's taxonomy places the organism in Eukaryota, Viridiplantae, Streptophyta, Magnoliopsida, Malpighiales, Euphorbiaceae. The record is from RefSeq and is a predicted model, not a curated record. The transcript has 4 exons.
GUAUUCACUGCAUGCUCAUUUGAACUUGAAAUUCCUAAAAUGCCUUUUUAUGCACCCAUGAAUGUUGCCUCUUACCCGGUUCAAUGUCGCUUCUCGCUCGAUAAAAUCUCUUGCCUGUUACCUAUUUUCCUCUUCUCCCUGUCAAUGGGUUGCCAUCCGCUGCUACUCUGGCUGCCUCGUCGUUGCUCCCAUGGGAUGAUGUCGUCUGUGCGAGCGUCUGUCCACCAGCGUUCUCCUUCGUACUGUCUUACCUCUGAAACUCUUUCUUUUUCGCCGCCAUAGCCUUCAGCUCGGCACUGUUUCUCUCUUCUCUCCGUUGAUGCACUGCUGUUUGUUACUGCUCUGGUCACCUCGUUGUUUCUCCCAUGGGACAAUGCCAUUUGUGAGAGCGCCUAUCCACGGAACUCCAUUUCUGUUGUUUGCUUCUCCUUCAUGUCCUCUUGUUGUUUUCCCCUCUGAAACCCCUAUUUUUUUUAGUCAAAAAAUUCUUGCAUCAUGUGUGGUGAGCGGUGUAGUUGGACUUCCUUUUGGUUUUAACGGCCAUAUAUUCUCAUGUAUGUACCUAUGUUCGCAUUGACUGAACAUUUCAUCUAUUCUGCAAAUGUCAUCAUACACCGGUUAUUCUGUUUCGAGAGAAAGAUCCUUUAUCAUUGACCACUGUAGGGGAACCAAAGCGACUGAGCAAUGUUUUCUGAUUUCUGGCCAUUUCGAAUGUUAUGCUGAAUGAGAGAGAAAAAAGGAUCAGAGAAAUGAAAAGAGUGAACGACUCGGCUUCUGAUUAGUUUGAGUGAGAUUCCAAAUGAUCAAGGACAUGUACUCUUUGUUGGAUUUGAUGCAUUUAGAUUUGAUUUGGAUUUUGCGUUCUUCUUCGACAGCGAUAACUUCUCCAGUUGAGCUCUCAACCUCGAGACAUGGAUGCCAAUGCUUUUAAAUGAUUGGGGGCUUCAGGGGUGGAGGAUGUAAUGCAAUAGCAUAGCAAUGGACUUAGAGAUCUUGAAAAGCUGAAAAAGCAACUAUAUAUUACGUAAGACCCUUAGUGUCUUCAAAAUGCUUUACUCGAUCUAUGGCCAUUUGGAGUUCUUGGCAAGAAGAAUAAAGAAGGGUGUGAACUGCAUUGAUGGGGUCAAUGCAUUUUAUAUAAGGUCCCAGACACAUUAGCAAUAGAGGUUUUGGAGCAAAUGAAGACAUCAGGAAGAUGAGAUCCAUGUGAUAUUAGUUAAUGAGUUAGCCAAUGUUGAUGGGUUAUUAUUUGGGUUGCCUACCCGAUUGGUUCUACAGCAUUUUUUUAUACACAUAUGAGCUUUGGAUGGAAUAAAGGGUUGCAGGAGUUCCUGUGCGUCCUAUAUUUAUUUUCUCUUAAGACUUUUUUUAUAUUAGUCGAGUAUAUUACUAUAUGGGACUGGUUUUAUUUAAGUGUACUAUAAGAUAGUUUAUGAUUACAUUUAC